GCCGUGAGGUGUUGCCUUAAGUGGCGCAACGAGCGCAACCCCUGUCCUUAGUUGCCAGCGGGUAAUGCCGGGAACUCUAGGGAGACUGCCGGUGCCAAACCGGAGGAAGGUGGGGAUGACGUCAAGUCAUCAUGCCCCUUAUGUCCAGGGCUGCACGCAUGCUACAAUGCGCGGUACAGAGGGCUGCGAUCCCGUAAGGGGGAGCGAAUCCCAGAGAGCCGUGCUCAGUUCGGAUCGAGGUCUGCAACCCGACCUCGUGAAGUCGGAGUCGCUAGUAAUCGCAGAUCAGCAAUGCUGCGGUGAAUACGUUCCCGGGCCUUGUACACACCGCCCGUCACACCACGAAAGUGGGCAACACCCGAAGCCGGUGGCCCAACCCUUGUGGAGGGAGCCGUCGAAGGUGGGGCUCGCGAUUGGGGUGAAGUCGUAACAAGGUAGCCGUAGCGGAAGCUGCGGCUGGAUCACCUCCUUUCUAAGGAGCCAUUUGGCAACCCGUUCCGUUGUCUAUUUCUUGACGGAUACGGAGACUCCAGGUUGAUCAUCUGCUCGAGACACGCUGUUCAGCUUUGAGGGUGCGACCCUCGAGCAUCUUGAGAACUCGAUAGCGAGCGCGAGCAUCUAGAAGUCAAGUGAACAAGGGCUUACGGUGGAUGCCUUGGCGCCAGGAGCCGAAGAAGGACGCGUCAGGCUGCGAAAAGCCUCGGGGAGCCGCAAGCAGGCUUCGAUCCGAGGAUGC
RNAcentral lists this small RNA (736 nucleotides) under uncultured Micromonospora sp. RNAcentral describes it as "bacterial SSU rRNA". The stretch from base 1 to 472 matches the Rfam family "Bacterial small subunit ribosomal RNA", at positions 1064 to 1533 of the family's 1533-position model. Lineage: Bacteria; Bacillati; Actinomycetota; Actinomycetes; Micromonosporales; Micromonosporaceae. The record is from RNAcentral.